Molecule: long non-coding RNA, 766 nt
Filed under: Fukomys damarensis (Damara mole-rat)
Lineage: Eukaryota; Metazoa; Chordata; Mammalia; Rodentia; Bathyergidae
Description: lncRNA (ENSFDAG00000026393.1)
Source: RNAcentral
UCUUACGACUGACUCUGGACUAACAUGUGAGACCCUCCACCGGGAGACCCUCGUGAUGGAACAGUUUUCCCAUCUACCUGGUUCAGCUGGUUUGCUGGAAACUCAGUUUUAGCUGGCAUGAGCCCAGCCUCGGGCCUGUUUUCUGCAGUGGUUCUAAUCUCAUCUCGCAUGCAAGGAGUCACCCACAGAAAUCGUGGGCCAGGAAAACUCCCCGGGUUUUACGGCUGGAAAGUCUGUGUCACCAGAAGCAGCACGAGUGACGUUUCCCUUCUCAUUGCAUUUUGAAGAGGCAGGAAAGGGGUGCAGGGGCACUGAGAGUCCCUGUUAUUUGCAGUUUGCAAAGUGCUUUAACAUACAUUAUCUCAUUUAGAUGAUCUUCAGGAGGUAAAAGAAAGCCAGAGACCCCAUCUUGCUCCUGUGAAGUCAUCUGCUUUAGAGAAAGCAACGUGUGCUAAUGUGUUACAGGAAAAGUCUUUCCUGUCCGGCAAAAGACACCUCCUUUCAGCAAGAAGGAAGGCAGAUUUUCAAGAUGAGCUGGAUAUAGACUGUACCUCGUGUUACUGUGAGUGGUGGAAAGAUAAUAAAUGUAAAAUGCCCUGUGAUAAAGGGCUCUGUGUUACUCUGGCAGUGCUUUGGGGGCCAUUGACAUCAGAGGCACCUUUGUUAGGGAGCUGUACAAUAAAAACAAAAAGCGUGCCUUAACACUUUUUAUGGUGGAAUACCUGGUAGGAAUGAAAACUGGGGAUCUGGGUGAGCUGUAAACUAG